RNAcentral lists this long non-coding RNA (394 nucleotides) under Equus caballus (horse). RNAcentral describes it as "lncRNA (ENSECAG00000044061.1)". The record is from RNAcentral. Lineage: Eukaryota; Metazoa; Chordata; Mammalia; Perissodactyla; Equidae.
UUUUCAGUCUUGUAUCAUGGCUAUUUACACAGCAGUCUUCUCUCUCCCUGUAGGGAGUUUCUUGAGAGCAAGAUGGACAUCACAUUCAUUUCUGAAUGCCACCAUACACCCAAGAGUAUGAUUGGCUGGGGGAGACGAGCAGCUCUUAAUCAGUGUGCCAAGACACAACAGUGUAUCUUGAAUCUUCCAGACUCUGAACUCCUUAAAGGCAGAGACUCUUAUUAAUCUUUGUGAUCCCAGCCUCCAGCAAUGCCGUGGCAACCGGCAGAUGCUCAGUGAAUUUCUGCUAACAAACAGAGCUGCUCCAAGACUCAAAGGCAAUAACAGGUAUGAAAAGGCUCUACAAUGUAUAAAGAUAUGAAUAUGAGAGACAACUGAAACCUUGUAAAUAAAU